RNAcentral lists this long non-coding RNA (378 nucleotides) under Apteryx rowi (Okarito brown kiwi). RNAcentral's name for it is "lncRNA (ENSARWG00000017924.1)". The record is from RNAcentral. Lineage: Eukaryota; Metazoa; Chordata; Aves; Apterygiformes; Apterygidae.
GAAAUGCCGGAGUAUGCAGAGAAACUGGAACAACUGUUGUGAGGGGUGAAUUUACCUCACUUGUGUCAGUGAAGAUGCCCAAGGAAAAUGCUUUGAAAAUGUCACCAGCAUUCAGGAAAUUUGCUGAACUGGUCUGAGAAUCCCUCAAAAAGAGGUUCUCGUGGCAGGUUCACCACCACGUGAGCACAGCAAAUGGCCAGAGAAGGUGGUGGGGUGGGUGUUGUGGUUUUUUAAUCUCCUCGACGAGACAGGUAACAAGGAUUCCCCUGAACUAUUUGAAAAAACAAAGCAAAAGCAAAAGCCCGGCGCUGUUGGACACCACCUGCUGCCCCCUCAGCCCCGGGCAGACGCCGCCCGUCCCCUCGGGGCCCCCCGGCC